Lutra lutra (Eurasian river otter) is the source of this 226-nucleotide long non-coding RNA. RefSeq lists it as uncharacterized. Lineage: Eukaryota; Metazoa; Chordata; Mammalia; Carnivora; Mustelidae. The transcript is spliced from 3 exons. The record is from RefSeq and is a predicted model, not a curated record.
GGGAUCUGACCACAGUAGGAGUCUCACUGACCACGGUGCAGUUUGACUUCAACAGGACUGUCACGAAGGGAGCCCCAAUAUUCUUUUGAACUUGGGCAGCCAAGUGCUUCAGCUCGACUUCUCUAAGAUGAUCAUAUGAAUUUCAGUGCCCAGGUGGGAAUUGGCCUGGUAAAGGGUGGACCUCUUCAGUUGACUGAAGGCCUGAAGAAGACAAAAGACUAACUGU